This 449-nucleotide ribosomal RNA is filed under the name SR1 bacterium canine oral taxon 369. RNAcentral describes it as "bacterial SSU rRNA". It matches the Rfam family "Bacterial small subunit ribosomal RNA", at positions 9 to 452 of the family's 1533-position model. Lineage: Bacteria; Candidatus Absconditibacteriota. The record is from RNAcentral.
GAGUUUGAUUAUGGCUCAGGAUGAACGCUAGCGAAAUGCCUAACACAUGCAAGUCGAACGGAUCUUGCGCUGUACUUGUACAGAGUAAGAUUAGUGGCAAACGAGCGAGUAACGCGUGCUUAACCUGCCCCGAAGAUGGGUAUAACUGCAGAGAUGUAGCUAAUUCCCAAUAUGCUCACGAUGGUGAAAUCCCAAUGUGAGGAAAGAUUUAUCGCUUCGGGAGGGGGGUGCGUCCUAUCAGGUAGUUGGUAAGGUAACGGCUUACCAAGCCUAUGACGGGUAACCGGUCUGAGAUGAUGUCCGGUCGCGAUGGGACUGAGAUACGGCCCAUACUCCUACGGGAGGCAGCAGUGGGGAAUCUUGCACAAUGGACGAAAGUCUGAUGCAGCAAUUUCGCGUGAAGGAUGAAGCAUUACGGUGUGUAAACUUCUUUUUUGGAGGAAGACGAA